UCUGAAACUGGCCUCAGUCAUCCCUGUCCCACAUUCUCUUCUGGAAACCCCCCCUCCCCCAUCAAGACGCGGCCUCGGACCCCUCACCCCUUGCAUUUGGGAGGGCUCAUGGCUCACAGUCGUGGUGGCACGAGAGGCUGAGCUACCCCAGGCAGUCCCAUUCUCAGGCACUGGGGGACAGGACGUCUGCACAUGGAUUUGGAUUUGGGGGGACAUGAUGCAGCCGAGCUGAGGUCCCAGCCAAUAGCAGCAUCCUGCAGCCAUGAGUGAGGUGGGCAGUUUCCUGCAGAAGACUCCAGCCCCGGCCCUGGGGCCACCAGACCCUGAGGACCAGAGAGAAGCGGUCGCUGUCUGCGUGCGGGAGCUCCUGGCUACAGAACGCGUGAGCAGAACAUGGUGCAUGCUUGUGACCUGUAGUUUUGGGCCCCUGGAUGCUGAUUAUUCAGCCAUGGUCACUGAAAUACCCUCAGCCUGGGAGUUCUCAUAUUAUCUCAACUAACCUUUGCACACAUCAAGGUGCCUGUCUCACGGAUGAGGACACCGAGACAUACGGGAUUAAAUAAACUGCUCAAAACACACAGUUGCUAAGUGGUGACCCGGACUUGAACCCCGUCUGGCUGACUCCCGAGCCGUUCCCCCCGUGGAGGAGGUCUCGGACAGUGCCUGACUCCCGAGCCGUUCCCCCCCGUGGAGGAGGUCUCGGACAGUGCCUGACUCCCGAGCCGUUCCCCCCGUGGAGGAGGUCUCGGACAAUGCACAGAGACUCGGUGCGGAAGACCCGCGCCAUUCCCACAGGCGUGUCCUGCUCUUUUCGGGACUGGCUGCAGAAGAGUCCCUGCCUGCAGCUCACUCAGCUCAGAGGACGCUGGUGAGGCCAGGCCUCUGGCUGUUCCAGGCAGACCCAGCACCCAUGUCAGGAGCAGCCAGUGUCUCCCCAGGACGGCAGAUGGAGGCAAACCCUGGUGUCUGAGUGGCUUCAAAUAGCUGUACACCUGGAAGCCUCAAAGUGCAGGGAACACGGCAGAUGGGGGCAGGUGGAUGCCCAGGAAGCCUCACCACAGUCACCUGGCUUAUUUGCCCCGGCCGGGCCAUUCACAAGGCUUGCUGCUGAAAAGCAGUAGGCUCUGCCCACCCAGCUUUGCACUGCAGGCCUGGCUCCAACCCACACAGAGGAAAAAAAAAGUUAUUUUUCACCUGUUGAUGCAGCAAAACGGAACCAGAAGCAGGAGUUCCAAGCCAGCCGUGCCUUUCUCUCCACUUCCUUCCCUGGGUGCAACCACAGCGGCGUGGUAGUGACUGUGGAUAGUAAGUUCCUGCAUUGCGGCUCUUCUGACCCGCGUCAAGGGUGAGCUUCCUGCUCUGCCGAUGUGCUUUGCCUCCUGGAAGCUUCAGACAUGGAAGCCAUGUUCUGCAGGACCAGGAGAAACCCCACUUUCAUCCCACGUCUCUGGUUAUCAGAGCAUCAAAUCCAAGUUUGACCUACAUUACAGGGCAAGUCGGUCAUGAGCACACACUGGACCAUGACAAAUUGAUUGUCGUGACUUUAUUGAUGUCAAGGGGGAUACAGUGCCACGAUUAAUAAUUUACCCAACAGAGAAAAGCUUUUCUUGUCUCUGUGAUGCCGGAGAGCCCAAGGUUUGAUUGUUCCAAGUCCGAGCACUAAGGAGGGAGGUGCUCACACUUACAGCUCAGGUGAAAAUCCACAGCAGAAGAUUCCUGGUAGCCUCCUUUCUGCGUGCCCACAAGUCGUCGAGGCAGAAAGUGAAGUUUGUUCUCUUAUAACAAACCAUUUGGACAGACACUUGGUUUUUCUGUUCUCAGAAUUUUUUCUGCUCUACCCAAACUAGGGGUUGGCGUUGCAUAAGUACCUUGGGCACUUGGGAAAUGCCUGUUUCGUUUCAUUACAUUGAGCGGUGAUAAGAAGAUUCAGACACUAAUUGGCAUUUUCCCCUAAAUCUCCAUGGAAAUGCAGUCUCUACUCCAGGGCACCAUGUACUGCGAGGACUUUAUACUCGCCCUCCGAGUGAAAGGAGAAUGAAGGAAUGAAUACAGAGGUGGACAGGGUCAUUUCUGUCCCAUAACUGCAUAUUGUCGACAUUUUUCUUUUCUGAGAUGGCGUCUCGCUCUGUCGCCCAGGCUGGAGUGUGGUGGCAUCAUCUCAGCUCACUGGAACCUUUGCUUCCCGGGUUCAAGCGAUUCUCCUGCCAUGACAGGCACCCACCACCAUGCCCGGCUAAUUUUUGUAUUUUUAGUAGAGACGAGGUUUCACCGUAUUGGCCAGACUGGUCUUGAUCUCCUGACCUCGUGAUCCACCCACCUUGGCCUCCCAAAGUGCUGGGAUUACGGGCGUGAGCCACCGUGCCCAGCCUUUUGUGGACAUUUUAAACAGCAGGGAAAUUAAUCCUGAGCAAUAAUAAAUAAAUAAAUAACUAAAUAAAUAAAUCAUGGU
This is a long non-coding RNA of Pan troglodytes (chimpanzee), 2449 nucleotides long. RefSeq lists it as uncharacterized. The transcript has 3 exons. Lineage: Eukaryota; Metazoa; Chordata; Mammalia; Primates; Hominidae. The record is from RefSeq and is a predicted model, not a curated record.